UUUUUUUUGCAUUUGCAAAAAUCUCCAGACAUUAUAUACUUUUUGCCAAAAAGUAUAUAAUGCCCCCCGGCCCCCCGCUUCCGCCGGCCAUGCAAUGUUUUAUAAUCUUUGUUGAUUUACAGACUAUUCUGUGAUUUAACAAGUUUGUGUUGUAGUUUAUAUUUAGUUUUCCGUGGUUUUAGAAGUCAUGUCUGUCCACAUACAAAAUAAACAUGUGCAUUUAUUGAAUGUUGUAGAUAUACGGACACUGUGAUGUGUUAUAAUCUUUGUUGAUUUACAGACUAAUUCUGAAAUUUAACAACAUUUGUGUUGUGGAGAAAACAUGAUUGUUCACAUACGUCAACAUCAUGUGCUUUUUACCAUUUUACUGAAUAUUGUAGCUGAGGCCUACUGACAUUCUGUGUUAAAAUCUUUGUUGAUUUAUACUCUUCUGUAAUUUUCAACAUUAUCUUGUAGUUUAAUUACAUUUGGUUUUCAGUGGUUUUAGAAAACAUAUGUUGUUCACGUACAAUAUAAAAAAUUGUGCAUUUACUCAAUUAAGGGACAAUUGCCGUGUAACCCCAUGUGAUUGACGGGUAUGAUACCGGCAAGGUUCUUCACAAAUGCGUGCAAUAAAAAUAUGAUUUAAUUUAUUUUACACAACUUUCUUAUUCAUUUACUAAUAAUAUUAAUAUUUGUUUUAGAAAAUAAAAUUAUCUUGAAUAAUUACGUUUGACGUAUGUCACGUGACGAAACUUUCCAAUAAGAAGUUUGCGCGGCACUAUUUCUUUCUUUUUCUAUUUCUCUCUAUCGUAUGGCAGUUGUAUGAAGAGUAGGUGGAAGCUGACAAAGACAUUUUAAGCCUUGAUGUACUUGCUCAGUUAUAAAUUCAACAAAGUUUGCAUAAUGGUCAUUGUGAGACACCUUUGUUAAUUGAUGAAGAGUAAAGAUAUUACAGUAGCAUUAGCAUAGAUCGAGAUACACGCAGUUGUACUAUCAAAGAACAAACAGGGAAAAAUGACCACCUGUCCGUGUUGUGGAAACCCAAGAUCAGAACUGUAAAUAAUACUGUGAACAAAAUCAAAGUUCGUCCUUUUUAUCCAACAAGAAUUUGCAACUUCGGGCGCUGGAUUUCCAGCCAGGACUGGUCAGAUAUUACUUGCUGUUUUACCACCCAAGGGAAAAUGGAUAAGUUGUAUGAACUUUUGGACACUGCUAUUAAUGAUUUUUUCCCAAUUAAAGUAGUUAAGAUCCAUUAGUCGGAUAAACCUUGGGUUACUCAAGCCCUGCGAGACUUAAUUGAUAGGAGACAGUUAGCCUUUUUUAAUAACACUACGGAAUGGAGGAAACUUAGAAAUUCUAAACUCCAGGCCAUUUAUUUGUGUAAUCGUGUUAAGUACUUACAGUGUAGUGAACCACACAAGUGGCAUACACAAAUUAAGACCAUGGCAUAUAUGGGUAAUAAUAAGAUACUCAAUGUUCCAGUUCAGGGUCUUUUGCCCUCAGAUUAUGUUGGGAUUGCUAAUGCAAUAAAUAAGCAAUUCACCAGCAUUUCCUGUGAGUUACCACCUUUAGAUUAUAACAAGCUUCCUGCCUAUCUUCCUUCCAUUGAUAGGAUUCCCCAAAUUCAGCCAUGGGAGGUAUAUAAUAAAUUGAAAAAGGUAAAUCCAAAUAAAGCCGGGGGGCCGAAUUGUAUCCCGCCUAGAAUUUUAAGGGAAUUUGCAGUUGAAUUAAGUGAGCCGUUUUCUGAUAUUCUUAAUUGUUCGUUUAGAGAGGGCAGGCUGCCUGUCCAAUGGAAAAAAGCCAUUGUCGUACCCAUCCCUAAAAAUCAGCCACCAAGUAUUGACAGGUUGAGGCCCAUUUCUCCUACCUCCUCGUUUGCCAAGGUGGUUAGAAAACCUACAAUAUCAAAUGGCCAGAAUUAUUCUCAAGGCACCAAGAAAUGUCGCUAAAGAGGCAUUACUUGGGGAUUUAGGUUGGGAACCAAUUUAUCACAUACAAAAUAAGUUUAGAAUGUCCUAUUUUAAUAGACUUA
Long non-coding RNA from Anneissia japonica, 2014 nucleotides. RefSeq lists it as uncharacterized. The record is from RefSeq and is a predicted model, not a curated record. Lineage: Eukaryota; Metazoa; Echinodermata; Crinoidea; Comatulida; Comatulidae. The transcript is spliced from 3 exons.